GACCUAUCGACUGAAAAGCAACAGCAAAGCUAACUGGUCUGCUAGCCCAGUUAAUUUCUCUGAUAUACUCCCCUUUUGCAGGAAUUGAAUAUUAGAAACUUCAAGUACAAUCCCAAUUCUCUUCAUUUUCAGUUCAGUUUUGCUUUUGAACAGGAUUGUCUUCCCAUGUAUCUUGUAGUCUUUAAAUCCCGUCACUGGUAAGAUAUUUCCCUUUAAAGAAGAACAUGUGUACAAACAUGAAAUUUAAUUCUCUCUGAUAUCUUGGGACGAUGACCAUGACUGCUGCUGAUUACUCUGCACACGGUAAUACACCAUGUAUACGGACAAGGUCCUUUCAUUGAUGGAGAGCCCACCAGGCACGGAAAGAAAGGGAUCUUUGUCUGAGCAGCAGCACAUGACAGGCAUCCUUGUGACUGGCCGACUGACGCAGCCCAUGCCGCUGUCGCUUGAGCUCUCCCGGCUUUUUCUGCGCUCCGCUCCCAUGAGCUGGAGCAUGCUCAGCUCUUCACAAAAAAAAAAAACCAAACAAACCCCAACCCAACAACCAAAAACACCCAACAAAAAAACCAACCCAUGACAACAGCCUUUGAAAGGGGUGCCUGUGUUCAGGGUCAAAAAUAAUAAAUAAAUAAAUAAAUAAAGAACAAACUACAGCCCCCUGGGCAGUGCUUGGCCAGGCUGUUCCCAGGACAAGCCUGUUCCUAGAUUGCAGUAGGUAUCUUUCUCAGAGCUGAAGGGGUCUCCAAGGAAGUGAUUUUGGUUUGGUUUUUUUGUGGUGGUGCAUUUCAAUGGGAAAGUUAAAAAUAAAUGAGACAAAUCAAAGCCUGUGGCUGCUGCUGUUUCAGCUGAUGCCUCCUUUAGCAAAAGAUAAGCUUGAUAUGGUGUCUGAGAGCUCUUCACAAGAGAAAAUGGGCUUCUCCACACAAGAUUUUACAAAUGCAGCCUUCCUUCCUUACAACUUUGAGUAAUGUUUUGCUUCUGAAUGUUUAUGUUUCCCAACUAUCAGGGAAUAUAUGAAAUAGCUCUUCUGUGCAGUAGGAAUUAACGCAACAGCCUGAGCUCCACGAGGCCGCUGGGCCAGAGUUUUCCAGUGCUUGGAGACCAUGUGCAAGAGCAACCCAGGGGAACGAUACCACUCAAGGGAAUCCUCUGCUGAAGCCAGGGACAGCACUGCACCUGCAGAGGAACAGGCAACCAACCUGAGCAAAAGGGAUACCUUAACUUCCAGCUGGGUGUAGGUACCCAAACCUGUGAUCUCAGUUGCAGUCUUGCUAGGUCUGAGGGAAAAUCUAUAUGCAGAAGGAGAUGGACUGAUCUGGGAUUUAUAGGAAUGGUUUUACCCUAAUUAGGCACUACAGGAAGCAGAUGAAUGGAGGAAUAAAUAACAUGUUGAAACAGUAGAGAGUUGAGGAAGAAAAUAAUCUCCUUGAGGUUAAAAUUGUAUGAAUUCUUGGUUUUGUCUGGGGACAGAGGCACAGAACAUAUUGGCCGGGAACAAAACAACGUUGGAGGAGACUGAAGGGACUGAAGAUGACUUUCCAGGAGGGAGAGAAGCACCAGCAGACAGGGAACAGAGGCAGAAGCUAAAAGAGGAGCUGGAGAGGUGCACUGCUCUGCGAGGUACAGAGCCAUCAGAAAAAGCUACUGCAUGGAUGAAAUUCCCAGCCGUUAUAGGACGACAGGGUGAAUGCUGCAUUUAUAAGUGGUCCAAAAAGAAGCAAGUAAUUAUGUGAAGGAAGCAAAUGGCUGUGCAGUGUUUUGAAAGUCCUCUUAUAGUAGGUAUUCUCCUGUAUUUUUGCAAGACUGGAGUGGCACAAGUGCCAAUAAUAAAAAGCCCUCUGCCAUCAGAGAUCAUGUAGGGAUUAAUUCAGUACUGCCCUUAGAUAUUUCAUCGGAAGC
Molecule: non-coding RNA, 1899 nt
Organism: Phalacrocorax carbo (great cormorant)
Lineage: Eukaryota; Metazoa; Chordata; Aves; Suliformes; Phalacrocoracidae
Source: RefSeq, a predicted model, not a curated record